GACGAACGCUGGCGGCGUGCCUAAUACAUGCAAGUAGAACGCUGAAGGAGGAGCUUGCUUCUCUGGAUGAGUUGCGAACGGGUGAGUAACGCGUAGGUAACCUGCCUGGUAGCGGGGGAUAACUAUUGGAAACGAUAGCUAAUAUCGCAUAAUAGUAGAUGUUGCAUGACAUUUGCUUAAAAGGUGCAAUUGCAUCACUACCAGAUGGACCUGCGUUGUAUUAGCUAGUUGGUGGGGUAACGGCUCACCAAGGCGACGAUACAUAGCCGACUGGAGAGGGUAUCGGCCACACUGGGACUGGGACCCGGCCCAGGCUCCUACGGGAGGCCGCAGUAGGGGAUCUUCGGCAAUUGACGGAAGUCUGACCGGACAACGCCGCGUGAGUGAAGAAGGUUUUCGGAUUGUAAAACUCUGUUGUAAGGGAAGAACGAUAGUGGGAAUGGAAAGUUCACACUGUGACGGUAUCUUACCAGAAAGCGACGGCUAACUACGUG
RNAcentral lists this ribosomal RNA (494 nucleotides) under uncultured bacterium. Its description in RNAcentral is "partial 16S ribosomal RNA". It matches the Rfam family "Bacterial small subunit ribosomal RNA", at positions 28 to 507 of the family's 1533-position model. The record is from RNAcentral.